This 350-nucleotide ribosomal RNA is filed under the name uncultured bacterium. RNAcentral describes it as "bacterial SSU rRNA". It matches the Rfam family "Bacterial small subunit ribosomal RNA", at positions 29 to 407 of the family's 1533-position model. The record is from RNAcentral.
AACGAACGCUGGCGGCAUGCCUAACACAUGCAAGUCGAACGAGACCUUCGGGUCUAGUGGCGCACGGGUGCGUAACGCGUGGGAACCUGCCUUUAGGUUCGGAAUAACUCAGAGAAAUUUGAGCUAAUACCGGAUAAUGUCUUCGGACCAAAGAUUUAUCGCCUUUAGAUGGGCCCGCGUUGGAUUAGCUAGUUGGUGGGGUAAAGCCUACCAAGGCGACGAUCCAUAGCUGGUCUGAGAGGAUGAUCAGCCACACUGGGACUGAGACACGGCCCAGACUCCUACGGGAGCAGCAGUGAGGAAUAUUGGACAAUGGGCGAAAGCCUGAUCCAGCAAAUGCCGCGUGAGUG